Molecule: unclassified non-coding RNA, 498 nt
Filed under: Hevea brasiliensis (rubber tree)
Lineage: Eukaryota; Viridiplantae; Streptophyta; Magnoliopsida; Malpighiales; Euphorbiaceae
Source: RNAcentral
ACCCUCAAAGAAGCCAAGGCUGGGGAUAUCAACAUGCAGGUUUUGGUUGGUCAAAUGUAUUAUAGCGGAUAUGGAAUACCUAGAGAUGCUCAAAAGGGAAGAAUUUGGAUGACAAGAGCAUCAAGGAUUCGGUCUUCAGUUUGGAAAGUUAGCGAUAAGCAUCCAGGUUAUAAUGCAAGUGAUUCAGACUCAGAUGAGUUGAAGGGUGAUUCUUAAUAAUACCAAAUUGGUUUCAUGACCAAAACAAUUACAAUGGAUGAUGUUGUUGCUGUUCCUCCCCGGGAUUUAUAUGUUUGUGACAAUCUCUAUUCUUUUUCCCUGCUCCUCUUUUCCACACCCUUUAUCUGAUUUAGUUUCCCUCAGGUGUAUGUGUUCAUGCUGUUUAAUAUGUUGAUAUGAAUGGUUAAUUGCACUUUCAAGACAAUCUUUGUGAGUUAAAUAUUGGAUUUUAUUUUCUUUUUUUUUCCAAAAGUUGUGAUAUAUAAUCUUAUAAUCCGG